This is a non-coding RNA of Acanthosepion pharaonis, 96 nucleotides long. The record is from the annotation of a GenBank genome assembly. NCBI's taxonomy places the organism in Eukaryota, Metazoa, Mollusca, Cephalopoda, Sepiida, Sepiidae.
UUAAAAUACUGGUUCCCAUACGAUCACCAAGGUUAAGCAAUGCAAUGCUUGUUCAAUACCUUGAUGGGUGACCGCUUGGGAAUACCAGGUGCUGUA